This is a long non-coding RNA of Carassius gibelio (silver crucian carp), 5273 nucleotides long. RefSeq lists it as uncharacterized. Lineage: Eukaryota; Metazoa; Chordata; Actinopteri; Cypriniformes; Cyprinidae. The transcript has 6 exons. The record is from RefSeq and is a predicted model, not a curated record.
UUGUUUCGGCCCCCAUUUUAACGACCCCUGACCCAUCUCGUCAGUUCAUUGUGGAGAAUAAAUUCUAGGCAGGCUCGCUGGGCAUUAUUUUUCGGACGUUUCAGGUUUACCAUUUCUUAUCGCCCAGGCUCUAAGAAUGGUAAACCUGACGCGCUGUCGCGGGUUUUUGAGGCUGAGGCUAGUCCCACCCUCCCGGUGGCCAUUUUGCAUCCCAAACGGGUUGUGGCUGCGGUCACCUGGGGGGUGGAGUCCAAGGUCCGCGCGGCACAACGCCAUGCUUCUGUUCCCAUUGGAUGCCCAGAGGGUCUGCUCUUUGUACCUGAGUCAGUCCGAACUAGUGUACUUCAGUGGGGCCACUCUUCUAGUCUAGCUUGCCACCCUGGAGCGACUCAUACUUGUAGGUUAAUCAAGCAGUGGUUUUGGUGGCCGUCCGUGGCUCAGGAUGCUCGACGGUUUGUGUCGGCCUGUCCAAUUUGCGCUUUGGGUAAGGGAUCCAAUCGACCCCCUGCAGGGCUACUUCAGCCGUUGUCGGUCCCUUCGCGGCCCUGGUCACACAUAGCGAUGGACUUUGUGACUGGCUUGCCUCCAUCUAGAGGCAAGACGGUGGUUCUCACUGUGGUGGACAGGUUCUCAAAGGCGGUCCAUUUUAUUCCCCUCCCCAAAUUGCCGUCAGCGAGGGAGACAGCGACUACGGUCUUAGAUCAUGUUUUCCGUAUUCAUGGCCUCCCGGUGAACGUGGUUUCUGACAGAGGUCCCCAGUUUGUGUCUAGGUUUUGGACAGAGUUCUGUCGACAGCUGGGGGCGACUGCGAGCCUAUCUUCCGGUUAUCACCCACAGACUAAUGGUCAGGCCAAGCGUGCAAACCAAGAUUUGGAGAGAGUCCUGCGCUGUGUGGCGUCUGCUGAACCGUCAUCUUGGAGUUCCAGGUUGACCAUGGUAGAGUAUGCUCAUAACUCCCUCCCGGUCUCAUCUACGGGUUUGUCUCCCUUCCAGUUCUGUUUAGGCUACCAGCCACCUCUAUUCCCCUCUCAAGCAUCCGAUGCCGUUGUUCCUUUAUUCAGAGAUGCCUCCGUACUUGGAGGAUCGCCAGAGAAGCCCUCACUCGGACUGGCGAGAGGAACAAGGCAUCGGCGGACCGUCACCAUACUAAGCCCCCACUUUACGUGUGUGGUCAGAGAUUCUGGUUGUCUACUAAGGACAUUAACUUCAGACUGCCCUCACGUAAACUGUGCCCUCACGUAAAAAAUGGUCCGGAGGAGAGAUGCUGGAUUCCGGCUCGCGAUAUUCUGGAUCGCGCUCUCAUUGAUCAAUUUCAUCAGCGUCAUGGUGAGUCCUCCGGGGACGCCAGGAGGCGUCCCUGAGGUGGGGGGUACUGUCACGGUGCAGGGUGCCUCUCAGCUUCCCCUGUGGUCUGUGUUGUCCUGUCUGUUCAGUAGCUCGUGGUCUGGGCAAUCAGCGCUAAUCAUGGCGGGGUUGUGCAGAACACGAGCUUAUUCUCCCCACCUGUCGCUCAUUCCCCCACUCCCUUUAUAUAUCUCUGCUUUUCUGUCUGUGGUCGUGAGUAGAUUGUUUUGUCUUUGCCCAUGUUUUGCACUGUUUCUCAGUAUCAGUCUCACCUUCUGUUCUUGUGCCAAAGGAUUCAUAAUUCGGAGAUCCAGCAGCGCGAGUGGUCCGCAGUGUGCCGGCCAGCUCGGAGAUCUGUGUGCGCCAGAGCUUUUCGUUAUUGUUUAUGUUAUUUUGUGUUUUGUGGCGAGAAUAAAGAUUCUCCUUUUCUAACUCUGCAUCUGAGUCCUCUAUCCAGUACGCACCCCAUGACAGAAUUAUAUAUGGAAUUAUAUACAUAAAAAAAAGUGUGAAACAACUGAAAAUAUGUCAUAUUCUAGGUUCUUCAAAGUCGCCACCUUUGCUUUGAUUACUGCUUUGCACACUCUUGGCAUUCUCUUGAUGAGCUUCAAGAGGUAGUCACCUGAAAAAGUCUUCCAAAAGUCUUGAAGGAGUUCCCAGAGAGAUGCUUAGCAAUUGUUGGCCCUUUUGCCUUCAGUCUGCGGUCCAGCUCACCCCUAAACCAUCUCGAUUGGGUUCAGGUCCGGUGACUGUGGAGGCCAGGUAAUCUGGCGCAGCACCCAAUCACUCUCCUUCUUGGUCAAAUAGCCCUUGAUGCCUUCAGUGUGACUCUACAAUUUUCAUAGUCUUGAAAAUAAGGAAUACUCUUUGAAUGAGAAGGUGUGUCCAAACUUUUGGUCUGUACUGUAUCUCAUCAGACUUGGACAUCAAUAGUUGAUGCUUCCUGCAGGUGUAACAGGUUCAAAAAGAGAUUGCUCCAUUCUAUCAUUGACAUAUGUCUCUUUGUUGUAGAUUUUGUAACACAGCCUUAUAAAAGAUGUGGGCCAAUGUUUGAAUGACAAACUUUACACAUUUUUAGUGUUUGCGAUGAACAAAGUAAACCCAAGGCUAGCUCGACAUGAAUGCCUCUUACUUUCACCCUACAUUGUGAGUGGUUCCAGGUCCUUGACAGUCAAUCACAUACCCUUUUGUAGUGAUUUAACAAUUAUCCUUUCGGUUUAGGUGAUGCUGCCAUCGGUGAUGGUGUAAGUCAGUACUUCGUCAGCUUUGCUAUAAAGACCUUGCAGUCUGGAUUCCACAUCAAUUUUGGCAAUGCUGAUGUGACUAGGCUGUUUGAGGGACAGAAGGAUCACCUCAUCCCCUGUGACUCCGAGCCACUAACUGAUUCUGUCCUUUUUCUGAUGGCAGGUAGAAUGUUGGGACAUUCAUUUAUACAUGGUGGCCCGGGAUUGCCAGGGAUCAGUCCUUCUCUAGUCCAUGUGCUCUUAGGGGGCCAGUUGGAGACAGCGGCAUUGGUAUUGGAGGAUUGCCCUGAUAUCGAUCAAAGGAACACAAUCCAGUUGCUGGAUGGCAACAGGGAGCUAUCUGAGAAAACCAGAAAGCGGCUGUCAAUAGGCUAGUUGACGUGGGAAUUGCCAUGACUGACUAAUCUGAACAGACAAUAUCUUCAUCAGAGGCCGUUGCAGCAUGUGUGGUUAUGAAUCAAACAGAUAAGAAAGGGCUUAAAAGAAACAGGAGUGUGGUCAAUACUGUCAGAAAGAAGAGAUGUGGCUGAAGCUGUCUUCCCGUGUGAAAAAAUAAGUUAUCUGCAGCCCCCAGGUCAUGAUUUGUCACAUCAUCUGGCCAACAAUUGAGGUUGUUGAGGACGAAGAAGAGGGAUUUCCACUUGAGACAAGAGCCAAAAUUGGAAUGUACCUUCGCCAUUUCAUUGAAACGGCACCAGAAGCAUCUCGGAUUAUCCUACUCAAGUUUUGGACUGGAUGGGAAGUUCUCUCUGGGCAGCUGAAGCUGGAGGUGGUACGUGGGGAGUUCUCAAAAUCCUUGACUUGUUACCAGAGCCUACGCAUCCCUCGCCACUUCUCAACUUAUGAGGAACUUCAACAAGCAAUUGAAGCAUCUAUUGGGACAUCCGAUACUGGAUUUGGACUGAAAUAAUGCAGCUCCAUGCAAUACAUGUGUGAAACAUGUCAGUUCUAAAUUUCCUUUAUUCAAAUUUCAUUUAUUUUAGGCCAACAUAUAUUUAACAAUGUUGAAGUUAAGAAAAAAAUGGCAUCUUUACAGGCCGUGGAGUUGUAGCAUAAUGUUGUCAUAAUGAAUGGUGUUUAAAAAAAAUAUAUUACAAAAUGCAUGUUCGGUAAGUGUUUAUUCACAGUAUUCCCUUUGUGUCCAGUAUUCAUUCAGGGUUACAUUUACAAUGUUUAAACCAAAUUUUUUAAGAGAAUGUUCACAACCUGUUGUACUGAGUGUUCUGUAACAGAAAUGACUCGAACCAAACAGACAGAACCAAAAAUUUAAGAGUCGAUCAGGGCUGUGUUGAAACACGAGCCAAAUUCCGCAGGAAUUCAUAAAUCAGUUCUAGUGCCACAAGAACCAAGCAAGAUGACCAACCAACUUUUUCACAAAACAGCUUUCAACAUUAACACCACUAGAACAAUUAUUGACAAUUAAUUUGCAGAAGAGAUUGUCAAAUGUGUUGUUUGUAAUUUAAAUGCAAGGCUGGACAUCACAUGAAAACCCAUGAGAGUACUGCACAAGUUCCAUUGACUUCCCCCACCCAGCAGAACCAGACUGAAAUUCCUAAGGGUGAAGGGCUUUGAACCUCUGGUCUCCACAGAAGUUUUUGUCAAGAGAAUGGCAAAGAAACUGUCUUUUGUACAUAUAUAUGGACCAGAAUGAACUUAUGGUCCUUAUGAAAAGACUUAUAAAUUAAUCAGUCCAUCGCUUCACUCCAUAUUCAUUUAUGUGUAACCCACACAUUUGACUAUCAUGUUAUAAUCACUUAUUGUGUAUGUCUUUUAAUAACUAUGGGAUAGCUUAAGGAUACAUAGUCAUGUCUAGUAUCUACGUAAUUGCUUGCUUGAAUUAGUCCAGACAAUAAUUUAUUUGUCACAUGUAUCGUAUUCCGGUUAUAGGAAUCAUGUCCAAAAUUAGACCCUGCAAGAGUGGGAAAAUCCGGACUACAUGCUUGGUAAGAUAAACAUGUGAUUUAUGAUACCCCCAAGCCAAGACUAUAUCUGAUUGGUCAAGACAACAUUUGAGGUGUGGCCAACAGGCCAGUUUAAAUACUUAGGACACCAUAAAAUCUCUGCUUUUAGGUGUUAGCUUUGCUUCUGCUAUUAGUCAUGCCUGCUUUUAGUUCUAGCCUUGCUUUUGCUAUCAGUCAUGCCAGCUUUUAGCUUUGCUUCUUAGCUUUAGCUUUUAGCCAUGCUGUUUGUCAUCACUGUUCCUUGAGCGCGGUUCCAGCAUGUUUCAGUUUUUCGAAAAUUAUUAUCAGUUUACCAAAAUUAUUGUUUCGAUACUGAUACCCUGUCAAGAAUUGCGAUUUCGAUACUUUUUCGAUACUUUUCCUGAAAAGGGAAAAUACACUCUCAAAUAUCAUUGAUGUGCAUUAUUUUAAAACCGGGACAACAUUCUAAACAUAUAACACACUAAUAAAUGAACAUAUGAACAGCAGAUAUAUUAAACAUUUGAACAAAAUAUGAAAUAUCAAAAUAUUAAAAAAAAAAAAAUAGAGCAAUGACAUUCAAGGUAAAGAAUAAAUUUAGCAGCGUUAUCUUGGUUAUCAUAAGAAACAUAAGAGUAAUAAAUGUAUCUUGAUUCUGAACUUUGAAUAAAAAUAUGAACAGCGAUUAUAUUAAACAAUGUUUCUGAACUCAGAAAAUUAAAUGUCAAAAGAUAAAUAAUAUCAAUUUAAGCAAUGGCAUUAAAUU